GCAUAUCAAUAAGCGGAGGAAAAGAAACCAACAGGGAUUGCCUCAGUAACGGCGAGUGAAGCGGCAACAGCUCAAAUUUGAAAUCUGGUCCCCUCUGGGGGCCCGAGUUGUAAUUUGAAGAGGAUGCUUUUGGCGAGGCGCCUUCCGAGUGCCCUGGAACGGGACGCCACAGAGGGUGAGAGCCCCGUAUGGUAGGACGCCGAGCCUCUGUAAAGCUCCUUCGACGAGUCGAGUAGUUUGGGAAUGCUGCUCAAAAUGGGAGGUAAACCCCUUCUAAAGCUAAAUAUUGGCCAGAGACCGAUAGCGCACAAGUAGAGUGAUCGAAAGAUGAAAAGCACUUUGAAAAGAGAGUUAAACAGCACGUGAAAUUGUUGAAAGGGAAGCGCUUGCGACCAGACUUGCGCCCGUCGGAUCAACCGUCCCUCGUGGGCGGCGCACUCCGGCGGGCUCAGGCCAGCAUCAGUUUUCCUGGGGGGAGAAAGGCGGUGGGAAUGUGGCUCUUCGGAGUGUUAUAGCCCGCCGCGUAAUGCCCUCGGGGGGACUGAGGACCGCGCGUAUGCAAGGAUGCUGGCGUAAUGGUCGUCAGCGACCCGUCUUGAAACACGGACCAAGGAGUCGUCCUAAUAUGCGAGUGUACGGGUGUAAAACCCCUGCGCGUAAUGAAAGUGAACGGAGGUGAGAGCUUCGGCGCAUCAUCGACCGAUCCUGAUGUUCUCGGAUGGAUUUGAGUAAGAGCAUAUUGGGCCGGACCCGAAAGAAGGUGAACUAUGCCUGUAUAGGGUGAAGCCAGAGGAAACUCUGGUGGAGGCUCGCAGCGGUUCUGACGUGCAAAUCGAUCGUCAAAUAUGGGCAUGGGGGCGAAAGACUAAUCGAACCUUCUAGUAGCUGGUUUCCGCGAA
RNAcentral lists this ribosomal RNA (899 nucleotides) under Cephalotrichum cylindricum. Its description in RNAcentral is "LSU rRNA". It matches the Rfam family "Eukaryotic large subunit ribosomal RNA", at positions 38 to 964 of the family's 3401-position model. The record is from RNAcentral. Lineage: Eukaryota; Fungi; Ascomycota; Sordariomycetes; Microascales; Microascaceae.